RNAcentral lists this long non-coding RNA (862 nucleotides) under Phasianus colchicus (ring-necked pheasant). RNAcentral describes it as "lncRNA (ENSPCLG00000015836.1)". The record is from RNAcentral. Lineage: Eukaryota; Metazoa; Chordata; Aves; Galliformes; Phasianidae.
CAGAAAUAGCUGCUUUCACUUCUGUGAUGGUGUAUGGGCCCUGCACAGAAACAGGAACUGAAGUAAGGUUAAGCAGGGUGUAAAGGAACAGUGUUUGGUAAAAGAAGGGAGAAACACAUGACCUAGCCAAGUCUAACUGCAGGGCAGCAUACAUAAGCUGUUGCUAUGUCCUCAAGAAAACAAGGGCCUGGGGAAACAGCCCAAGGCUGAGGUGCAUGAAGCACGGGGCCCAUGAUCCAGCCUAAGUCCCGCUGUCCCCAUAGACAGAGCUCUAGGAUCACCGUGGCCUUCCUCCUGCCCUUGUGAGACUGAAAUAUGCAGCAGAGCUGUAGGACAUAGUUCAUUGUUUAUCAAGGGUAAAUACAGUUCUGGAUGGGAACAUGGAGGUGGAAAGUUCUGCACACAGCGCUUGCUUGCAUGUUGUGGCUUGCUGCUUGGACAAAACAGGACUCUUUGUCUUUUUGUAACACUGCUGCAUGGGAGAAACCCCUCGCUGCAGUUUGGGAGCAUGCCCUGGUUCUACCACCUUCAAAGGUGACUAUUCAAAAUGCACUGCCAGCCCUAGAAGGGAACCUUAUCAUUGCUGUGCAGCCUGGACCCCAUGUGUUGCCAAUAGUGCAUAUAGGAGGUGCUUCUGUCUCCAUGAGGUCACACUGUACUCGUGCUUGGGGAGGGUGCUGUACUGGUGCUUGGGGAGGGUGCGUUUGGUGCCUUUGGUGUUGUGUGGCUGGUGUUAAAAGCAGAAAAUUCAAGCACAACUGGUUAAAGAAUAGUUCUAAGAAGGGCAGGGGGUCAGUUUGAAGAUUUCACAGGAAAGCAAGAAUUAGAAUCAAAAUAAAGAAAACUGAGAGGGAAGAUAACA